Molecule: long non-coding RNA, 3454 nt
Organism: Lotus japonicus
Lineage: Eukaryota; Viridiplantae; Streptophyta; Magnoliopsida; Fabales; Fabaceae
Exons: 8
Source: RefSeq, a predicted model, not a curated record
AGGAUCUAUAACUUACUAAAGCUAGAGGGAUUUGGCCACUGUUCAUAAGAAAAAACCCGCCAGAGCCGGGUCAAGGUCGGGUUAUGGGUCAGUUUUUCCGAGACCUAUGCUGGAGGCCCGAUAACGGUAGCUUCCAGGUAAACAAACAGUACGGCUGAUCUUCUCCUCUGCACCAAAUCUUCUUGCGUCGUAAACAGACAGUAGCUUCCACUCCUCCAUCUGCACAUGCAUAGCCUCAAGAUUCUCUCUCUGAACCAAAUCCUCUUCAGUUUCUUUCUUCUUUUUUCCAUCACAAUAAUCAAGAAACCCAACAAGCCUCUCACCAGGCUCUACUACAUCACCUUCACCACCAUCCUCUGCGCCCUCUUCUACCUCAUCGGUCUCUGGCGACACCCUACAACCACCGCUGCCGCCGGCAGCCACUACACGCCGUCAACCUCCACCACCACUCUCGAUUUCUCGCUAUCAGAGCACACACCAUGAGAGGAUGUGCAGAAGUUCCCGCGAGCUCUGACAAGGAGUAGUGGCUGACUUCACUAAAACCCCAAGCUUAAAUAUAAUUGGUCAUGCGCACACUUCCUAAGGAUCGAGUGAUUUCAUCAAGGACAUCAUGAUUGAAGUUGCUACUUUGAAGUUAAGGACAUCAGGAUUUCAUCAAGGACAUCAUGCGCACACUUCCUUGGAAAUAUUAUCGGAGUGUUUUCAAUCUCCCUUCAAUCUACAUACCAAAACUGUCAUUGAUGACUCUCCGGUGGUGCCACUUUGAAGUUGUUGAUGGUUGAAGCAUGAUGCAAUGUCGUAUCCCCCAGAUAGCAGACGAAAAACAGUUGGAGAACAAUUCAUUAGAGAAAAUGAAUAAUGUAAGUAAACAUGUGAUGACGGUUGCUAUAAAAAUUAGUUUGAUUUUCAUUCACUGACACGUUCAAGAAUGGUGAAACUGGUGCUGCCCGCAGAGGCGGACCUACAUGGUGAUGAGGGGGUUCACUUGAACCCCUGGAAAAAAAAUAGAGCACACUUAUCCCACUAUAUAAAUUUUACCCCUUUAUAUAAAUUCGUUUUUGAACCCCCUGAAAAUUUUAAAUUGUACUGUGCACAUAUUUGCACCAAACUCAAACUCACUUAUCCCACUUUCUCACACACAUGUGUGUCUCAGUGUCUUUAUUGCAGGAAGUGUGUUUGUAAGUACUGGGUAGUCACAACGUCAAACCCAUAGCAUUACAACAAAGCAUCAUUAUUCUCUGCUUUUAAUAAGGCAAAUGUGUUGGAAUUUGUAAGUUUUUAUCAAAAUGAAUUCACUCCAUUUAAUUUAGUGGUGCUUGGUGUCUGGUGAUGCACUAGAUUCCUACAUCAUCGGUAUGCGUAGGAAUGAUGAAUUUACCUCUUUGAAAGGACUCCAACAGCUUUCGGAGUAGUUGGUUGAAAAAGGAAAACAUGUUGUUUAUCCACAAGUUUAUCUUCUUUUGAAAUUUGCGCUUAUUUUGCUUGUUGCUAUGAAUAUUGUGAAGAAUAAGCUGCGUAACCGAAUGAGAGAUACAUGGAUGAACGAUUGUUUAGUUACUUACAUUGAGAGUUAUGUAUUAAAUACCAUUGACUUCGAGCUUAUUAUUCAACGAUUUCAGAAUAUGAAAUCACGUAAAGGACAAUUAUGACUUGUAUAAUUUAUUAGUAUAAACAUAUUAAAGUUGUUUUUAAUUAUAUUUUUAUUGAUGUGUUCGUUUGAAAAUUUUGAACCCCCUGACCUCGGGUCCUGGAUCCGCCACUGGCUGCCCGCAAGCUGUUCGAUGAAAUUCCUGAGAGGGAUGUUUGGAAUUGGAACUGUAUGAUCGUUGGAUAUGUGGCGGUUUGGGACCUGGAGGCUGCUAUCAGAUCACUUCACAUGUAUAGCUCUUGACAUUAUUUUGCCUUUCAAUGCAAUUUCAGACAGCUUGGGUCUAUGUGAAGCGCAUUGCUGAAUAUAAACCGUUGCGGAGGCUCGCAUGUGAUGGUUGAGGUGGACGAGGUCGUACUGCGCACACUUGAAGAAGGUCUUGAUGCUUGAAUGAGAGGUUUUCCAGUUCUUUGUACUUGAGGUUGCAGACCAAAGCUGAAAAUAAGCUUCUGAAUGCUGAAGUUUUUGUACAUAUCAUGUUUGAACCGUGAGAGUGGAGUAAAGGAUAAAUGCGAUGUUAACAGGCUAAAGAAGACAAAGGUGGAAAGAAAUCCUGAUUUGAAAGGAUUGGGUUCAAUGGGUUACAUUUCAGGUCAUGGAAGUUUUCAAUUUUAAUAUGCUUAAUUUAAUUAUUAUUUGUAAUAAUCUAUAUGGUGAUUACAGGUUGGUUACACUUCAGUUCAUGAAGUGAGGCAAAUGGGUACCUUUCUCAAUGGGAUCAAUUCACAGUACAGCCUGUUUCGUGGUUGAGCUUUGUUUUGCUGGUUUUAACUGGAGCAGGAUAGAUAUUUUACUAUGACAGAGAAAAGAAACGACAUGUUGAAGACAUACAUAAUGCUUCGAAGGCAGUGAAGCAUGGACCUUAUGCGGGAAAAACUGCAAUUGGGGGUCCAUUUCACCUUACCAACCAUCGUGGGAAGCACGUUACUGAAAAGGACUUCUUGGGGAAGUGGACAGUGAUGUAUUUUGGAUUUACUCACUGUCCAAAUAUCUGCUCUGAUGAACUACAGAAGUUAGCAGAUGCAGUUGAUAAAAUAAGUCUGCAGAGAAACUAAAUGUGGCCCAAUUCAAUCUUGAGUGUAAGUUUCUUUCCCUUUAAUAUGAGGAUGAUUGGAGAAACUACAAACUUUUCAAGGGAAAGUGGUUGUAUAGAAGGAAAUUAGGAAGGUGACAAUGCUGGACAUGUUGCUUGGUUAUAUUUGCCUAAGAUUCUGAUUAGAAUAGAUGGGAAUGUAAGCAAUGUAGUGGAUGAGGUUACUUUGGUUGUCUUCUAUGUGUUACUUUUUAAUGAUCUGAUACAGCUACCAGGUAGAACAAGUACGACUCUCUCCUACUGAUCUUCUCUGUCAUACGAAUCUACCGCCGCCGCAAAAUCUUUCAUGGAGAUUUCGAAGGACAACCCGCUGAUAUGCCCUUAGGAUCUCUACCGAAAUUAACCCUAACCCUGAGCUUGAAUAACUGAAGUUAUUGAUUAUGGUUGCUAUAAAAAGUGGGUUAAGAUGCAUUAUCUGCCAUGUCCGGUCAAGUAUUAUUCCCUGCCUGAUUGUUUGGUGUUGUUGCUCGAAUUUUCUGAACGUGUGGGUCGUGUGGCUUCUCUAAAUGGAACCAUCAAUUCUGUUGUUAGCAUUGUAGUGGCAGUGUGCCACAUUAGAAUUGGUGUACUUGAGCUGAUUAGUCUUUUGUUGGUCUUUUUUAGAAUAUUGCAACCAAGUGCAUGGUGCUUAUUGAUUUGCUUAAUUUUAUAGGUGUUAUCUUAUAUAUUUCAUCAAGUAUGAUCUUCAUGCCUAUACAAAGUUGAUUCUGAUA